AACGCACAUUGCGCCCGCCAGAAUUCUGGCGGGCAUGCCUGUUCGAGCGUCAUUUCAACCCUCGGUCUCCCUCCGGGAGAGACCGGCGUUGGGGACCGGCACUUACCCCGCCGGCCCCGAAAUGAAGUGGCGGCCCGUCCGCGGCGACCUCUGCGUAGUAACUCCACUCGCACCGGGACCCGGGCGCGGCCACGCCGUAAAACCCCCAACUUCCGAAUGUUGACCUCGAAUCAGGUAGGAAUACCCGCUGAACUUAA
Molecule: unclassified non-coding RNA, 257 nt
Filed under: uncultured fungus
Lineage: Eukaryota; Fungi
Description: partial contains 5.8S ribosomal RNA, internal transcribed spacer 2, and large subunit ribosomal RNA
Source: RNAcentral